This 856-nucleotide ribosomal RNA is filed under the name uncultured bacterium. Its description in RNAcentral is "bacterial SSU rRNA". It matches the Rfam family "Bacterial small subunit ribosomal RNA", at positions 524 to 1381 of the family's 1533-position model. The record is from RNAcentral.
UACGAAGGGACCUAGCGUAGUUCGGAAUUACUGGGCUUAAAGAGUUCGUAGGUGGUUGAAAAAGUUGGUGGUGAAAUCCCAGAGCUUAACUCUGGAACUGCCAUCAAAACUUUUCAGCUAGAGUAUGAUAGAGGAAAGCAGAAUUUCUAGUGUAGAGGUGAAAUUCGUAGAUAUUAGAAAGAAUACCAAUUGCGAAGGCAGCUUUCUGGAUCAUUACUGACACUGAGGAACGAAAGCAUGGGUAGCGAAGAGGAUUAGAUACCCUCGUAGUCCAUGCCGUAAACGAUGUGUGUUAGACGUUGGAAAUUUAUUUUCAGUGUCGCAGCGAAAGCGAUAAACACACCGCCUGGGGAGUACGACCGCAAGGUUAAAACUCAAAUGAAUUGACGGGGACCCGCACAAGUAGUGGAGCAUGUGGUUUAAUUCGAAGAUACGCGCAGAACCUUACCAACACUUGACAUGUUCGUCGCGACUCUAAGAGAUUAGAGUUUUCGGUUCGGCCGGACGAAACACAGGUGCUGCAUGGCUGUCGUCAGCUCGUGUCGUGAGAUGUUGGGUUAAGUCCCGCAACGAGCGCAACCCUCACUUUUAGUUGCCAUCAUUAAGUUGGGCACUCUGAAAGAACUGCCAGUGAUAAGCUGGAGGAAGGUGGGGAUGACGUCAAGUCCUCAUGGCCCUUACGUGUUGGGCUACACACGUGCUACAAUGGUAUCUACAACAGGAAGCAAGACUGCGAAGUUAAGCAAAUCCCUAAAAGAUACCUCAGUUCGGAUUGCACUCUGCAACUCGAGUGCAUGAAGCUGGAAUUACUAGUAAUUGUGGAUCAGCGUGCCACGGUGAAUGCGUUCCCGGGUCU